CUGGUUCCUUGCAGCUGUGACUCCCCAGGGUAAGAGGCAAAGAGCCACCAGGUCCCAGCUGAGGAAGCCCUGUGGUCAGCUCAGACAGGGAUGCGGACUGAAGCCGAAGCAGGUGUUAGUAAUUGUCGUACCUACAGACGAGGAAACCGAGCCUCCAUGAAGUGAAGUGACUCACCCACAGUCACACAGCUAAUAUAUGCCAGAGCCCACAGCAGAACCCAGACGUACUGAGGCCAAGUUCCAUGCCAGCAUAAAACAGGCUCCAGUUCUCCCUGGAUUCCAGGAACACCAUCUCCUUCCUCGUCCCUUCCAUCCCAGGGAAGAAUUGAAGCACAGAAGCAAACGACCUCUCUUUGUAUUCAUGAUUUUCAACAGGUCUCCUGGUUCUUCUAGCCCCUCUAACUUCCUCUCAUCUCUCCUGUAACAACAAUGAUCAGAAUGAUAC
Molecule: long non-coding RNA, 445 nt
Filed under: Homo sapiens (human)
Lineage: Eukaryota; Metazoa; Chordata; Mammalia; Primates; Hominidae
Description: non-protein coding lnc-EDRF1-1:23
Source: RNAcentral